RNAcentral lists this long non-coding RNA (840 nucleotides) under Homo sapiens (human). Its description in RNAcentral is "HSALNT0192847". The record is from RNAcentral. Lineage: Eukaryota; Metazoa; Chordata; Mammalia; Primates; Hominidae.
UGUUAUUUGAGUAAAGUUGUGGCUUACAUAAUGCUUCCACAUGCACCAUUCUACUUAUUAGACAACCCUGUGAAGUGGAUUCAAAUACUCUCAUUUUAUAGAUAAGAACAAUUUAGAUCUAGAAAUAGUAAGGAACUUAAAUCCAAUUUACACAACAAUGUUUUCUUGUUUCCCUGUUCUUGUUACUACCCUUCUGUACUUCAUCUUAAUAUAGAAUGGCCAGGAGAUAAGUGAAGCUAUAGAACUGACUGGGUGAUUCCAGAAAUUGGAGCUAUAGAGUCCCAUAGUAACUUAUGAAUUGUCCUACAGUGCAGUCCUACAGCUCCGUUAUGAUAAUCCUCCAGAUGAAGCUAUGUUCAAGACUGGACUAGAUCUUGUGCUAUAAAGCCACACUGGAACCAUCUCCAAUUCCCCACCUUGCUUCAGUUUUAUAUUCUUGCAGAUAGCCUCUUUGAAUCCAUCAGAGAGAAUACGAUCGACUAUGCAUGACAGAUGAAGAGAGAGGCAGAGGAAGAACACCUAAUCAGUCUACAUUCUUCUAACUAAUAACCUAAGUGAAUGCUAAAUUGAAUAAUGUCAUUUGAAAUAAAAAGUUUGUGAAUUAGCCUGAUUUAAUUAUUCACAUUGUAAAUAUAUACCAAAAUAUCACGUUGUACCCCACAAGUAUAUGGAAUUAUUAUUUGUCAAUUAAAAUUAAAAUUUCAAAAGAAGAACAUGAGAAAAAAAAAUUCAGGUAGGUUUCCACAGAACAGAGUGACAAAAUAAUGAGUCAAUAUAGUGUAAACAAAAAGGUACCAGUAUAUAAAGCUGGUCCAGAAGUCAUUUAUUGAAGCACAACAG